Molecule: ribosomal RNA, 495 nt
Filed under: uncultured bacterium
Lineage: Bacteria
Description: partial 16S ribosomal RNA
Rfam family: Bacterial small subunit ribosomal RNA
Source: RNAcentral
UGAACGCUGGCGGCGUGCCUAAUACAUGCAAGUCGAGCGAACAGACGAGGAGCUUGCUCCUCUGACGUUAGCGGCGGACGGGUGAGUAACACGUGGAUAACCUACCUAUAAGACUGGGAUAACUUCGGGAAACCGGAGCUAAUACCGGAUAAUAUAUUGAACCGCAUGGUUCAAUAGUGAAAGACGGUUUUGCUGUCACUUAUAGAUGGAUCCGCGCCGCAUUAGCUAGUUGGUAAGGUAACGGCUUACCAAGGCAACGAUGCGUAGCCGACCUGAGAGGGUGAUCGGCCACACUGGAACUGAGACACGGUCCAGACUCCUACGGGAGGCAGCGGUAGGGAAUCUUCCGCAAUGGGCGAAAGCCUGACGGAGCAACGCCGCGUGAGUGAUGAAGGUCUUCGGAUCGUAAAACUCUGUUAUUAGGGAAGAACAAAUGUGUAAGUAACUAUGCACGUCUUGACGGUACCUAAUCAGAAAGCCACGGCUAACUACGUG